This is a long non-coding RNA of Magallana angulata, 3162 nucleotides long. RefSeq lists it as uncharacterized. NCBI's taxonomy places the organism in Eukaryota, Metazoa, Mollusca, Bivalvia, Ostreida, Ostreidae. The transcript has 3 exons. The record is from RefSeq and is a predicted model, not a curated record.
ACUAAAAUCUUCAUCAUUUAUUCCCACUUGCUUAAAACAACGACUUUACUUAUAUUGUAAUAUCGAUAAUGUGCUUUCAUUAUAUCGUGUUUGUUUAUUUAGACGAUGUUAAUAAUUAUCUACAUUUAGAUAUAUAAACAUUGAAAAAAAUGGGGAUUAUAUAAGACCAAGGCGAAAGAUAAAAAUAUAUAUAUAAAUACAUGUAUAACACUAGAUCUAGACUCAUUUCUUUAUAUUCAUAUGAUUAACUUCUUCGGUUUCCAAUGGAAACUUUCUACGGUCUGAAAGUAAGGAGAAAAAAUUAAAUUAGGAAAAUAUAUACUAGGUAUGUUUUAACAAUGAGUUACAGGAUUAUUCUCGUAAAACUAUGCUUCAAUAUAAAGUGUAAGUGUACGGUGAUUUUGCCUGGUCAGACUAUACAGCAAAACCAUUCUAUUGAAGUAAUGUAAUAAUUAUUCUAUUUUGCAUUUGUGUUUUCUUUUAUGAACACCGCUUUACUAUAUGUCUAGUUCUUGAAGAAAAUGAGCAAUGUAGAUAUUUUUUUAAACAAUGGAUGAAAAUCGAUAGAGUACUUUCAAAAUAGGUAACGGGUGCUUUCGUCCCUUGUGAAUUUGCUACUAACUAUUUUUGUUACAAUACAAUGUGCUUGUUUAUUGGUCAAAAGAAGUUUUGGUGAACGUGUUCAAAGAUCAGACAAUUAUAGAAUAUGAAAAAUAAACAAUGAUAUAAACAUGAGACAGAUACAAACAAGACAAUGUUGUUAUUUAAUAUAAUCAUUUUGAAGCAAUGGAUUCACUCACUCUGACUCUAAGUCUCGCUGAUUAUAAAUCAUAUACAUGCUGUGGAAACAUGUAACACCAAAUUUGUACAUGUAUCUCCACGUCAUUCAUAACAAUUCAUCAGCUUUAUCUUUGAAUAAUGUAGUUCAUAUAGUAAAUAGUAUUUUUUUUUUGGGAGUGGGGUGGGGCUGAAGUUGUUGUUGUUAAAACACAAAUAAUGAUAAGAAUUUAAAUUUUAGCAUUUCAUUAAUCAUAUUUUUGAAGAAGGCAGAAGCUGUAUUGCUUUAAUAUAAAAACAAAAUUUUAAAGAAGCUCUAGAACAAAGUUAUAGUAAACACGGUCAAAUUGAUAUGUGUAGGUUUAUUCAUAGAGAUAUAUAUGCUAACACAUGUACAUACAUGCCAGAUUUACAUGUAAUUAACUACAUCUGGACAUGUCAUACUAAGUUUUACUUUCUUGUUGUUUGACUACAAGUUUACUUUGUAAAUUAAACAAAAUUUAAAACGGAACAAAAAAUUUAAAUAGAUAUAUAUACACAUAUACAUUGUACUUGUAUAUAAAUUAUAAACAUCAAAUGCAAUGUUGUGUAACAAUAUACCAAGUUUUAUCUCAACUUUACUUCUAAACAGCACUAAAAUUGCAAAAUAUGAGAACAGAAGCUAUUUUCCUCAUCUAGUGUUUAAUUUUAUGGAAUAAAUAUCAUAUUCGCUCUGAAUAGAGACAUAACUAACAUAAUAUUAUGCCUCUGUGUACAUGUACAAUUCUUCCAUGCACUCUUAGAAAAAGGUAAGAUGUAAAACGAAAUUCUGAGCGUAUAUGAAUAAAUCACAUCACGAAACUGAUACCACCGCGAUAAUGUACAAGUAAGUAUACAUCAAAAUAGUUAGGACAAAAUGACCCGGGGCGAAUCAGCCAUUGGUCAAGACACCGUAAAACCUAUAUUUUCGAAGGAAGUCAUGUGUUCGGAGAUUAUAUAUCAAAUUAAGAGUCUGAGACAGUUGUUUUUCAGUGAUUCAUCAGUAUGUGAUAUUUGCCCAAAGAUGGAUCUUAAUACCCACAUACUUGGACAAAGAAUAGAGAUUUUCAUGGGAUUUAUCUCCAGAGGUCUAAUGCAGAAUAAAAAUUAAGAGUCUGGACAGAAGCGAAUGUGUAUCAAUGGACUAAACUUAUCUUGAGCUGGUACCGGUUUUCUAAGCAACAAUGUUGGUAGGCGACAGUGGCCCACUGUCUCAGUUUUGCCACAGUCCAGGGUCAGCACCAAGCUACAUGUAUAGGACUCCUACCUAAUUACUAAAAUUAUCUUUAUGAAGAAAAUUUACAAGACUUUUUGAUGACUGGGAAGACAUAUUAAAUCUGAUUGAAUUUACACACUUGAUUGAUUAGCUUUGUCAACACAAUAGCCAAAUAUAAACUAGUAUACUAUUUUAGCAUUAUUUAACAAGUAUAAGUCAGACAGUUUAGAAUUUUAUGAUCCUAUAGUAAAGGAAAAAUUACAGUGUUUAGAUAUAUUCAAUUCAUCUCAGUUGUUCUUAAUGCAUAUGCAUGUACAUGUAUAAAUACAUGUAUAUGACUUUUUUUAAUAAAGUAUACAUAUAUAGCUGAUGUAAUGACAUUGAUAUAAUCAGAAUUGAUAUGUGUAUAGGUAUUCUGUAUUGCUUUAUCUAGGUUGGAUCUUGAAAGCAUGUGUAUGGUACACUGUAUCAUAAAGAUGAUUUUUUCAUUCUUUGUUUACAGUUAUUGUCAUAAAGGGCAUAUGAACAGAUUUUUUUUCUUUGACUCCUUUUACUUAUAUAUAUAUAUAUAUAUAUAUAUAUAUAUAUAUAUAUAUAUAUAUAUAUAUAUAUAUAUAUAUAUAUAUAUAUAUAUAUAUAUAUAUAUAUAUAUAUAUAUAUAUAUAUAUAUAUAUAUAUAUAUAUAUAUUGUAGUCUCCUGGGGCCAUAAUACAAACACCUAGUAACAAUAUUGUUUGAAUUAUAUAUACCGUAGAUGGGUUUCUGAGUGCACUGAUUUACUUGUACUCAUCCAUGUACAUGUACAAAUACAAUUGCAUUUUGUAUAUGUUUGUGCAUUUGCUGAUAAUUUCAAGCACCAUAAAAUCUGUUGUAUUAAUUCAUUUUGUAAACUGCAGCAUAUUUUGACAGGUGGGGUAUCGUUACAUAAUUAUGUACUAGAAAAAUGUAUACGGUAUAUCCCAUUUCAUUUUCUUGAGCGGAAGGGGGGGGGGGGGGGGGGUCAGUGCCUAUAUGCACAUAACUAUUCUACGUUAAUAAGUUUGCAUUUUACACUUACCCUACAGACUACCACCCCUCUGUAAUUAUUUUUGUUCAUGAUCGAAUAUUAAUUCAUAUACAUGUACCAAUUGAUUCAAUAAAUGUAAAUGAUA